This is a long non-coding RNA of Bos taurus (domestic cattle), 525 nucleotides long. Lineage: Eukaryota; Metazoa; Chordata; Mammalia; Artiodactyla; Bovidae. The record is from Ensembl.
GUGUGAGCCUGGCACCGUUACAGAGAACAUUUUGAAAUCUGUUUUUAACGGCUUCCAGUCUACUGAGUGGCUCGUUUGAAGUCAUCUUUGCUUAAUAAGAAAUAACGAGGAUGACAAGCAAGUCAAUGGAAAAAGGAAAGUCUUUUCAUCAGGUUAAGCAGACGGUGCAUUUGUCAAAACUCCCCCGACUGGACGCUUUAAGAUCUGUGCCUUGCGCCACAGAUACAUUACACCACAAUGAAAAGGAGACAACCAACGCGGGCUGCGUCUCACGACUGGCAGAUGUCGUGGGAGCAGACGUCUUGGACAGAAGUGCAGUGGCGUGUGUCCAGGGCCCAGUCCUCUGGGAGCUGCCCACCCCGCUUGGGAGCAGAGCCCCCAGCCCUGAAAUCGCUGGGCCAGGGCCAGGCGGGGCGAAUCCCCUCUACCCAGUCGGGUACCAGUGCCCUGGGCGCCCCCAUCAAGGACACCAGGGUUUGCACGACAGGGUAGGAGAAGAGGAAUGCGUUUGGUUGCUGGUCCCAC